UAACAUCACAAGAAAGAGCACUCCAUCGAUUCAGUUUAUUGCAAAACAGAUCAUAUUCCCAUCAUCUUUUACCUAAAAGAUACAAACAUUGUUGUCAAAUUUAGUAAAUGAAGAAAAACAAUGGAAUAAAAUUUUGCCACAGUAAAAUAUAAUGCAAUUGCAAUUAUGAAAGUUUUGAUUAUUGGAAAAAAAACAUGACCGUCUCAUACUAAGCCCUCCAGAUAUAUUAACAAGUUAUCUCUGACAUAUAACAUUUUAUAAUGCAAAGUUACAUUUGCAAGGUUAAUCUUUUGUCUUUUCAAAAGAGAACUUGUUGGAAAGGACACCUUAUAGUCGUCUUGUACAUAUUCUUCCGCACUGUGUCCAUUCCCCAGAAAAAGAUGCCUAUCCCUCACGACAGAAUUUUCAAUUGCUACAAUCACAGCAUGUUGUAAAGGAUGCCAAGAACCAGAACACGUAUGUAAUUCAUGUUCAAACCAGCUCCAUGGACGUAAACAAGAAACACCAUUGUAAGAAUGCUUUGUGUCCUUGGAUGAACAUGAACAUCUUGAAAGAAAUGACUGACAAUUUUUGGCUUUGAUGAAAUUAAAUUGAGCUGCUUCUGGAAAGUUGCAUGCUGCUUUCUUUUAUGGAAGUAUUACAAGAUAGGACUUAGUCAUGUGAGCUUGCUAUGACCUGCAUAGUUGAAGGAUCCACAAUGACAGCAGCAUUCACGACCUGAAAGAGUGAGUUUAUAAAAGACCAACAACCAAUCCUAAGUACAAGUAUCUUCGAAGAUAAAAAGCAAAGAAAAAGGCAUAGGAUGGACAAUAGGUCACUCAAUAUCUAUAACCAGAAUGUAUAUAUAUGCGUGCAAAAUCAGCCAGCACGCUCUAGCAGAAUAUCUUAAACAGUUUAAGCUGCACUGCUAAGCCCUUUUAAUGGCCCUUUCACGUAGAUCUUCCAUUACAUUUGAAUAAACACAUUGAAAAAUUACAAGUGAAGUUCUCUCUUUUACCUAGGAUUUCAUCUCAUUUCUCACAAAGGCACAAUGAUAAUGCGGCAUACAGAAGAUAAUUUCACUUCAUUUAUCAUUCACAGAUUCACUCAGAUUUAUAAUUUCAUACCUUUUCCAUUUCGACAUGUCUAAAAUAAUUUAUCUGGAAACUAGUAAAUUACAACUCUAAUGGAAUUUCAAGCAAUAAAUGUGAAAAGGAGAUAAAUUCAUUUCAAAUACGGCACCAAAGUAGAAUGUAUUUAAUGAUACAAAGGCAUCCAGAAAGCAUUAGGUAGUUACCGAGCUAACACCAGAUUUUGCCAAACCAACUGCAUAUGUCAUGAAGCUGGAAACUGAUUCCGAAUCGUCUUUACUAAAUCCAGUUAUGCCAUCGAUAUUGCUUCGGUCGAAAGACAGUUAGGUGACUCGCCGGACUCGGCAGUCGACAGGCGGCAGCACAACCAGCACUCAGCAGAAGCAGACGCCAGAAGAAGGGCCAAGGAAGAUAAGAUUCGUGGUGAACUCACCGUCUCACCGUCGCCGUCACUCACCGGACGCCCGGACUGUGUCAAUGUUGAGA
RNAcentral lists this long non-coding RNA (1556 nucleotides) under Olea europaea subsp. europaea. The record is from RNAcentral. Lineage: Eukaryota; Viridiplantae; Streptophyta; Magnoliopsida; Lamiales; Oleaceae.